RNAcentral lists this ribosomal RNA (478 nucleotides) under uncultured soil bacterium. RNAcentral's name for it is "bacterial SSU rRNA". It matches the Rfam family "Bacterial small subunit ribosomal RNA", at positions 26 to 508 of the family's 1533-position model. The record is from RNAcentral.
AGGACGAACGCUGGCGGCGUGCUUAACACAUGCAAGUCGAGCGGAAAGGCCUUUCGGGGUACUCGAGCGGCGAACGGGUGAGUAACACGUGAGUAAUCUGCCCAUCGCUUCAGGAUAGCCAUCGGAAACGGUGAUUAAUACUGGAUAUGACAUUCCUUCGCAUGUUGGGGUGUGGAAAGUUUUUUUCGGCGGUGGAUGUGCUCGCGGCCUAUCAGCUUGUUGGUGGGGUAAUGGCCUACCAAGGCUUUGACGGGUAGCCGGCCUGAGAGGGUGACCGGCCACACUGGGACUGAGACACGGCCCAGACUCCUACGGGAGCAGCAGUGGGGAAUAGUUGGACAAUGGGCGAAGCCUGAUCCAGCAACGCCGCGUGAGGAUGACGGCUUCGGGUUGUAACCUCGUUCAGCACAGACGAACGUUUUGUCGUUUUUGGUGUAAGUGACGUUAUGUGCAGAAGAAGGACCGGCAACGUACGUCG